This 496-nucleotide ribosomal RNA is filed under the name uncultured bacterium. RNAcentral's name for it is "partial 16S ribosomal RNA". It matches the Rfam family "Bacterial small subunit ribosomal RNA", at positions 28 to 507 of the family's 1533-position model. The record is from RNAcentral.
GACGAACGCUGGCGGCGUGCCUAAUACAUGCAAGUUGAGCGCUGAAGGUUGGUACUUGUACCAACUGGAUGAGCAGCGAACGGGUGAGUAACGCGUGGGGAAUCUGCCUUUGAGCGGGGGACAACAUUUGGAAACGAAUGCUAAUACCGCAUAAAAACUUUAAACACAAGUUUUAAGUUUGAAAGAUGCAAUUGCAUCACUCAAAGAUGAUCCCGCGUUGUAUUAGCUAGUUGGUGAGGUAAAGGCUCACCAAGGCGAUGAUACAUAGCCGACCUGAGAGGGGGAUCGGCCACAUUGGGACGGAACCCCGGCCCAAACUCCUACGGGAGGCAGCAGUGGGGAAUCUUCGGCAAUGGACGAAAGUCGGACGAGCAACGCCGCGUGAGUGAAGAAGGUUUUCGGAUCGUAAAACUCUGUUGGUAGAGAAGAACGUUGGUGAGAGUGGAAAGCUCAUCAAGUGACGGUAACUACCCAGAAAGGGACGGCUAACUACGUG